Molecule: ribosomal RNA, 625 nt
Filed under: Staphylococcus aureus
Lineage: Bacteria; Bacillati; Bacillota; Bacilli; Caryophanales; Staphylococcaceae
Description: partial 23S ribosomal RNA
Rfam family: Bacterial large subunit ribosomal RNA
Source: RNAcentral
ACUGUUUGGACGAGGGGCCCCUCUCGGGUUACCGAAUUCAGACAAACUCCGAAUGCCAAUUAAUUUAACUUGGGAGUCAGAACAUGGGUGAUAAGGUCCGUGUUCGAAAGGGAAACAGCCCAGACCACCAGCUAAGGUCCCAAAAUAUAUGUUAAGUGGAAAAGGAUGUGGCGUUGCCCAGACAACUAGGAUGUUGGCUUAGAAGCAGCCAUCAUUUAAAGAGUGCGUAAUAGCUCACUAGUCGAGUGACACUGCGCCGAAAAUGUACCGGGGCUAAACAUAUUACCGAAGCUGUGGAUUGUCCUUUGGACAAUGGUAGGAGAGCGUUCUAAGGGCGUUGAAGCAUGAUCGUAAGGACAUGUGGAGCGCUUAGAAGUGAGAAUGCCGGUGUGAGUAGCGAAAGACGGGUGAGAAUCCCGUCCACCGAUUGACUAAGGUUUCCAGAGGAAGGCUCGUCCGCUCUGGGUUAGUCGGGUCCUAAGCUGAGGCCGACAGGCGUAGGCGAUGGAUAACAGGUUGAUAUUCCUGUACCACCUAUAAUCGUUUUAAUCGAUGGGGGGACGCAGUAGGAUAGGCGAAGCGUGCGAUUGGAUUGCACGUCUAAGCAGUAAGGCUGAGUAUUAGG